CCUACGGGAGGCAGCAGUGAGGAAUAUUGGUCAAUGGGCGCGAGCCUGAACCAGCCAAGUCGCGUGAGGGAAGACGGCCCUACGGGUUGUAAACCUCUUUUGCCGGGGAGCAACGGGCGCCACGUGUGGCGCCACCGAGAGUACCCGGAGAAAAAGCAUCGGCUAACUCCGUGCCAGCCGCCGCGGUAAUACGGAGGAUGCGUGCGUUAUCCGAAUUUAUUGGGUUUAAGGGGUGCGUAGGCGGGGCGUUAAGUCAGUGGUAAAAUUGAGGGGCUCAACCCCUUCCCGCCAUUGAAACUGGCGCACUUGAGUGGAAGAGAAGUAUGCGGAAUGCGUGGUGUAGCGGUGAAAUGCAUAGAUAUCACGCAGAACCCCGAUUGCGAAGGCAGCAUGCCGGCUUCCGACUGACGCUGAAGCACGAAAGCGUGGGGAUCGAACAGGAUUAGAUACCCGAGUAGUC
RNAcentral lists this ribosomal RNA (460 nucleotides) under uncultured bacterium. Its description in RNAcentral is "partial 16S ribosomal RNA". It matches the Rfam family "Bacterial small subunit ribosomal RNA", at positions 338 to 795 of the family's 1533-position model. The record is from RNAcentral.